RNAcentral lists this ribosomal RNA (498 nucleotides) under uncultured bacterium. RNAcentral's name for it is "bacterial SSU rRNA". It matches the Rfam family "Bacterial small subunit ribosomal RNA", at positions 16 to 507 of the family's 1533-position model. The record is from RNAcentral.
AUCCUGGCUCAGAUUGAACGCUGGCGGCAUGCCUUACACAUGCAAGUCGAACGGGCAGCACGGGAGCAAUCCUGGUGGCGAGUGGCGAACGGGUGAGUAAUAUAUCGGAACGUGCCCAGUCGUGGGGGAUAACGUAGCGAAAGCUACGCUAAUACCGCAUACGAUCUAUGGAUGAAAGCGGGGGGAUCGCAAGACCUCGCGCGAUUGGAGCGGCCGAUAUCAGAUUAGCUAGAUGGUAAGGUAACGGCUUACCAUGGCUACGAUAGGUAGGGGUCCUGAGAGGGAGAUCCCCCACACUGGUACUGAGACACGGACCAGACUCCUACGGGAGGCAGCAGUGGGGAAUUUUGGACAAUGGACGCAAGUCUGAUCCAGCCAUUCCGCGUGCAGGAUGAAGGCCCUCGGGUUGUAAACUGCUUUUGUACGGAACGAAAAGGUUUCUAUUAAUACUAGGAGCUCAUGACGGUACCGUAAGAAUAAGCACCGGCUAACUACGUG